This is a long non-coding RNA of Equus caballus (horse), 1716 nucleotides long. The record is from Ensembl. NCBI's taxonomy places the organism in Eukaryota, Metazoa, Chordata, Mammalia, Perissodactyla, Equidae.
GUAAAUUUCACCACGGCAACUAUGAAAAUUGUUACUAGGGUAAAGGGAAGUUACAAUCCAAAGAAUUUAGAAUGUAAGUUUUAGUUGUAGAAGGAACAGUAGAGUCAGUAAUUAGAAAAAAAUCUUUUUAUUUCUAUUUUUUUGGGUCUGAGGACAUGCCUCAAGAUAGAAGAAAAUGAAGGAAAGUAAAAUAUCAAGGUCAGGGGUAGCAGAUGUACCCUCAUUGCUGUCGUAGAGAGAGAACGACAAGCGAGUAGCUGGCAGGGAGCCCAGAAACCCGAGGUUGACACUCCUAGCAUUAUUUCAUAGCAAGCCUAAAAUGCUGACAUGAGUGAGAAGCCUCCAGCAGGUGUAUCAGCAUUUCCGCUGCUGCUUGUGCUGAUAAAGCUUCCUGAACACACACACCAAGUAGAAAUCACUUGGUGACACGUUCACUGGGGCACUCCGCCAAGGAAGUCUAGAUGGGCAGGACGGUGUGCUGCAGAUGGCCCCACUACCCAGCGGGUCCAAUGGACAAUUCGAACGUGGUUUGAGAGAGACGUGGGGAGAAUUCUCUCCCCUGAAAUGUAUGGAGCAAGCUAGUACUUCUAAGAAUUUGCUACUGAAAGACGUAAGUUUGUUACAAUGAAAAUAUUAGGUAAUAAAUGCUGGUUUUUUGUUUUGUUCUCUUUCACACAAGACAUAGACCUGAUGACAUAAAAUUAAGAAACCGGAAAGAGGUGAGAAAAGCAGCUGAAGGAAGAUUUGAACAUUAUACCCUUCAAGAAUUAUAAGCAUGUACCCAUCAUCACCUUUAAGUAUCUUUCCUAAUGUGGACUAUUACUCAAAUAUUUCUGUGUUAUUUUUUCAGGAUGCAUAUGAAAACUGAAGUGGCUUUAGAAUACUAAGGUGGUAGCUCUACACAGUGUGAUUAUUAGUGUUCAAGGAGCCCGCCCUUCAUGUUCACAGUGACAUUAAACACACACACACACACCCCAUCACACACCACCCUCAUAUCCCACAUCCUGAAAAAUUAGACACACACACACAAACACGUCCCUCACACGCCACACCUCCGAACACAUACAUACACAUGCAUACACAGACACACCACACCCUCACACACUCCAAACACAAACCCUUGACUCUUGCACCAGUGACGAGAGGAGCAGAUUGAAGAGCAAGAGCCAGUGGACCUGAAAGGCUAUGGAUGACAUUUGCUGAAAACUGAAAUUCUUCUGUAGGGAUUUCAGUACAAACUUGAUGUUUUUGACUUCGGUGCAUUGAAAUUCAGAGAGACUUGAAAUAUCUUCCAUUUGAAACUGCUGUUUGUCAAAUAUACUUUAGUGUGAACGCACUUCUGAUCAUUUCUUGAGAGCAGGUUUUGACAGACAAACUGCACCUACGGAGGGCCUACGGCUACAGGGGUAAUGAGAGGAGGGCAGAGAGAGGAUGCUGUGGUGGCCGAAACAAACUCAGCUAACACAGUGAUUUGUCCUGGGGUCGGUGCUGACUGAAAACCUGUAGACACCACUGAGAGCUGCCCACAGGAAUAAACGAAAUGUUACACAGAGAAUACUGCGGCUAAAGAGUAUAUUUUUCUACUUACAUCAAUGUGAUGCUUGAAAGGUCUCUUUGGUCUAUAUAAAACUAGCACUUAUUGGCUACUAUUAAAUUAAAUGAGACAUUGCAGACCCCAAAACUAGGCAAUCAUAAAUCGCCAAUCCUAAAUUCUUC